This 549-nucleotide ribosomal RNA is filed under the name uncultured Glomus. Its description in RNAcentral is "SSU rRNA". It matches the Rfam family "Eukaryotic small subunit ribosomal RNA", at positions 548 to 1098 of the family's 1831-position model. The record is from RNAcentral. Lineage: Eukaryota; Fungi; Glomeromycota; Glomeromycetes; Glomerales; Glomeraceae.
UUGGAGGGCAAGUCUGGUGCCAGCAGCCGCGGUAAUUCCAGCUCCAAUAGCGUAUAUUAAAGUUGUUGCAGUUAAAAAGCUCGUAGUUGAAUUUCGGGGUUAGUAGGCUGGUCGUGCCACAGGUAUGCACUGGUCUUACUGAUUCCUCCUUCCUGAUGAACCGUAAUGCCAUUAAUUUGGUGUUGCGGGGAGUCUGGACUGUUACUUUGAAGAAAUUAGAGUGUUUAAAGCAGGCUAACGCUUGAAUACAUUAGCAUGGAAUAACGAAAUAGGACGUUCGAUCCUAUUUUGUUGGUUUCUAGGAUUGACGUAAUGAUUAAUAGGGAUAGUUGGGGGCAUUAGUAUUCAAUUGUCAGAGGUGAAAUUCUUGGAUUUAUUGAAGACUAACUACUGCGAAAGCAUUUGCCAAGGAUGUUUUCAUUAAUCAAGAACGAAAGUUAAGGGAUCGAAGACGAUCAGAUACCGUCGUAGUCUUAACCAUAAACUAUGCCGACUAGGGAUCGGAUGAUGUUAAUUUUUUAAUGACUCAUUCGGCGCCUUACGGGAAAC